RNAcentral lists this ribosomal RNA (483 nucleotides) under uncultured bacterium. RNAcentral's name for it is "bacterial SSU rRNA". It matches the Rfam family "Bacterial small subunit ribosomal RNA", at positions 35 to 507 of the family's 1533-position model. The record is from RNAcentral.
GCUAGCGAUAGGCUUAACACAUGCAAGUCGAGGGCAGCAUGGUCUUAGCUUGCUAAGACUGAUGGCGACCGGCGCACGGGUGCGUAACGCGUAUGCAACUUGCCUCACAGAGGGGGAUAACCCGUCGAAAGACGGACUAAUACCGCGUACACUCCAGCUUGGGCAUCCAAGCUAGAGGAAAUGAAAAUUCGCUGUGAGAUAGGCAUGCGUCCCAUUAGCUAGUUGGUGAGGUAACGGCUCACCAAGGCGACGAUGGGUAGGGGAACUGAGAGGUUGAACCCCCACACUGGUACUGAGACACGGACCAGUCUCCUACGGGAGGCAGCAGUGAGGAAUAUUGGUCAAUGGGCGAGAGCCUGAACCAGCCAAGUCGCGUGAAGGAUGACUGUCUUAUGGAUUGUAAACUUCUUUUAUACGGGAAUAACAAGAGUCACGUGUGGCUCCCUGCAUGUACCGUAUGAAUAAGCAUCGGCUAACUCCGUG